AUGCAAGAUUACUGGAGGAGAAAGUGGCGAUUCUUGGAGGAGCUGAAAUUGGAUGUGUUGGGUACCUUGAGAUGCAGUAUGGAGACAACAUCAUCAAUUCCUCCUCCUACGCCUUUGCAUACAGCGACUUCCUCCCUCACCGAAUUACCGUUCACCAGCACAUCCCACUGUGUUGUUCUUGAGCAGAUCAAACGUCACCCUGUGCGGCACUGGCAGAUGGAACGACGCGCACACGGACACGAUGGCGGUGUUGCUGUCAUCGUUGUUCCUCCUGUACGAGAUCCUGAUGUCGUCUUCCGUGCCAGCGCCACGCAGGAUGGUCCAUCCGCCCCCAGGGACGGCGGCAAUGCCGCUGGCGUAGCCCGCGAGCAGGCCGUCCGCUAUCUUCAUGAGGGUCUUCCUCCCAUUUGUGUUGCCUGA
This 420-nucleotide ribosomal RNA is filed under the name Triticum aestivum (bread wheat). RNAcentral describes it as "partial small subunit ribosomal RNA". Lineage: Eukaryota; Viridiplantae; Streptophyta; Magnoliopsida; Poales; Poaceae. The record is from RNAcentral.